GAACGGGAAUGCCACGCUGAUGCGAUUUCGGUCAAAUCAUGUGGCAUUCGAGUGGCGGACGGGUGAGUAACGCGUGGGUAACCUGCCUUACACAGGGGGAUAACACCUGGAGACAGGUGCUAAUACCGCAUAAGCGCACAGGGCCGCAUGGCCCGGUGUGAAAAACUCCGGUGGUGUAAGAUGGACCCGCGUCUGAUUAGCUUGUUGGCGGGGUAGGGGCCCACCAAGGCGACGAUCAGUAGCCGGCCUGAGAGGGUGGACGGCCACAUUGGGACUGAGACACGGCCCAAACUCCUACGGGAGGCAGCAGUGGGGGAUAUUGGACAAUGGGGGAAACCCUGAUCCAGCGACGCCGCGUGAGUGAAGAAGUAUUUCGGUAUGUAAAGCUCUGUCAGCAGGGAAGAAAGAAAUGACGGUACCUGACCAAGAAGCCCCGGCUAACUACGUGCCAGCAGCCGCGGUAAUACGUAGGGGGCAAGCGUUAUCCGGAAUUACUGGGUGUAAAGGGAGCGUAGACGGUGAUGCAAGUCUGGAGUGAAAGGCGGGGGCCCAACCCCCGGACUGCUCUGGAAACUGUGUAACUUGAGUGCAGGAGAGGUAAGCGGAAUUCCUAGUGUAGCGGUGAAAUGCGUAGAUAUUAGGAAAAACACCAUUAACNAAAACAACUUACUNCACUNUAACUNACNUUNANCCUCNAAANCNUNNNACCCUAAAAGGUANAUACCCNNUAUUCCACACCNUAAAAGCCCUAUAGGGUGUCGGUGGGUAUGGACCCACCGGUGCCGCAGCAAACGCAGUAAGUAAUCCACCUGGGGAGUACGUUCGCAAGAAUGAAACUCAAAGGAAUUGACGGGGACCCGCACAAGCGGUGGAGCAUGUGGUUUAAUCCGAAGCAACGCGAAGAACCUUACCAAGUCUUGACAUCUGGAUGACAGGGACGUAACGGUCCCCUUACUUCGGUACAUCCAAGACAGGUGGUGCAUGGUUGUCGUCAGCUCGUGUCGUGAGAUGUUGGGUUAAGUCCCGCAACGAGCGCAACCCUUAUCUUCAGUAGCCAGCAGGUAAAGCCGGGCACUCUGGAGAGACUGCCGGGGAUAACCCGGAGGAAGGUGGGGAUGACGUCAAAUCAUCAUGCCCCUUAUGAUUUGGGCUACACACGUGCUACAAUGGCGUAAACAGAGGGAAGCGAGCCCGCGAGGGGGAGCAAAUCCCAAAAAUAACGUCCCAGUUCGGAUUGUAGUCUGCAACCCGACUACAUGAAGCUGGAAUCGCUAGUA
RNAcentral lists this ribosomal RNA (1277 nucleotides) under uncultured bacterium. RNAcentral describes it as "bacterial SSU rRNA". It matches the Rfam family "Bacterial small subunit ribosomal RNA", at positions 64 to 1340 of the family's 1533-position model. The record is from RNAcentral.